RNAcentral lists this ribosomal RNA (2992 nucleotides) under Salmonella enterica subsp. enterica serovar Infantis. RNAcentral describes it as "23S ribosomal RNA". It matches the Rfam family "Bacterial large subunit ribosomal RNA". Lineage: Bacteria; Pseudomonadati; Pseudomonadota; Gammaproteobacteria; Enterobacterales; Enterobacteriaceae. RNAcentral also lists the same sequence under 9 other names. The record is from RNAcentral.
GGUUAAGCGACUAAGCGUACACGGUGGAUGCCCUGGCAGUCAGAGGCGAUGAAGGGCGUGCUAAUCUGCGAUAAGCGCCGGUAAGGUGAUAUGAACCGUUAUAACCGGCGAUACCCGAAUGGGGAAACCCAGUGUGAUUCGUCACACUAUCAUUAACUGAAUCCAUAGGUUAAUGAGGCGAACCGGGGGAACUGAAACAUCUAAGUACCCCGAGGAAAAGAAAUCAACCGAGAUUCCCCCAGUAGCGGCGAGCGAACGGGGAGGAGCCCAGAGCCUGAAUCAGCAUGUGUGUUAGUGGAAGCGUCUGGAAAGGCGCGCGAUACAGGGUGACAGCCCCGUACACAAAAGCGCAUGUGCUGUGAGCUCGAUGAGUAGGGCGGGACACGUGGUAUCCUGUCUGAAUAUGGGGGGACCAUCCUCCAAGGCUAAAUACUCCUGACUGACCGAUAGUGAACCAGUACCGUGAGGGAAAGGCGAAAAGAACCCCGGCGAGGGGAGUGAAAAAGAACCUGAAACCGUGUACGUACAAGCAGUGGGAGCACAGGUUUACCUGUGUGACUGCGUACCUUUUGUAUAAUGGGUCAGCGACUUAUAUUCUGUAGCAAGGUUAACCGAAUAGGGGAGCCGGAGGGAAACCGAGUCUUAAUUGGGCGUUAAGUUGCAGGGUAUAGACCCGAAACCCGGUGAUCUAGCCAUGGGCAGGUUGAAGGUUGGGUAACACUAACUGGAGGACCGAACCGACUAAUGUUGAAAAAUUAGCGGAUGACCUGUGGCUGGGGGUGAAAGGCCAAUCAAACCGGGAGAUAGCUGGUUCUCCCCGAAAGCUAUUUAGGUAGCGCCUCGUGAAUUCAUCUCCGGGGGUAGAGCACUGUUUCGGCUAGGGGGCCAUCCCGGCUUACCAACCCGAUGCAAACUGCGAAUACCGGAGAAUGUUAUCACGGGAGACACACGGCGGGUGCUAACGUCCGUCGUGAAGAGGGAAACAACCCAGACCGCCAGCUAAGGUCCCAAAGUCAUGGUUAAGUGGGAAACGAUGUGGGAAGGCCCAGACAGCCAGGAUGUUGGCUUAGAAGCAGCCAUCAUUUAAAGAAAGCGUAAUAGCUCACUGGUCGAGUCGGCCUGCGCGGAAGAUGUAACGGGGCUAAACCAUGCACCGAAGCUGCGGCAGCGAACGUAUCACCCAAGACAACUUUACGGAGUUGACGAUUGACGGAGCGAAGCGACGUCAAAGCGUUCAUUAAAGUCGAGUUGGCUUAGGGAUACGUUCGUUGGGUAGGGGAGCGUUCUGUAAGCCUGUGAAGGUGUGUCGUGAGGCAUGCUGGAGGUAUCAGAAGUGCGAAUGCUGACAUAAGUAACGAUAAAGCGGGUGAAAAGCCCGCUCGCCGGAAGACCAAGGGUUCCUGUCCAACGUUAAUCGGGGCAGGGUGAGUCGACCCCUAAGGCGAGGCCGAAAGGCGUAGUCGAUGGGAAACGGGUUAAUAUUCCCGUACUUGGUGUUACUGCGAAGGGGGGACGGAGAAGGCUAUGUUGGCCGGGCGACGGUUGUCCCGGUUUAAGCGUGUAGGUGUGUGUUCCAGGUAAAUCCGGUUCACUUUAACACUGAGGCGUGACGACGAGGCACUACGGUGCUGAAGCAACAAAUGCCCUGCUUCCAGGAAAAGCCUCUAAGCAUCAGGUAACACGAAAUCGUACCCCAAACCGACACAGGUGGUCAGGUAGAGAAUACCAAGGCGCUUGAGAGAACUCGGGUGAAGGAACUAGGCAAAAUGGUGCCGUAACUUCGGGAGAAGGCACGCUGACACGUAGGUGAAGUGAUUUACUCAUGGAGCUGAAGUCAGUCGAAGAUACCAGCUGGCUGCAACUGUUUAUUAAAAACACAGCACUGUGCAAACACGAAAGUGGACGUAUACGGUGUGACGCCUGCCCGGUGCCGGAAGGUUAAUUGAUGGGGUCAGCGUAAGCGAAGCUCCUGAUCGAAGCCCCGGUAAACGGCGGCCGUAACUAUAACGGUCCUAAGGUAGCGAAAUUCCUUGUCGGGUAAGUUCCGACCUGCACGAAUGGCGUAAUGAUGGCCAGGCUGUCUCCACCCGAGACUCAGUGAAAUUGAACUCGCUGUGAAGAUGCAGUGUACCCGCGGCAAGACGGAAAGACCCCGUGAACCUUUACUAUAGCUUGACACUGAACAUUGAGCCUUGAUGUGUAGGAUAGGUGGGAGGCUUUGAAGUGUGGACGCCAGUCUGCAUGGAGCCGACCUUGAAAUACCACCCUUUAAUGUUUGAUGUUCUAACGUGGACCCGUAAUCCGGGUUGCGGACAGUGUCUGGUGGGUAGUUUGACUGGGGCGGUCUCCUCCUAAAGAGUAACGGAGGAGCACGAAGGUUGGCUAAUCCUGGUCGGACAUCAGGAGGUUAGUGCAAUGGCAUAAGCCAGCUUGACUGCGAGCGUGACGGCGCGAGCAGGUGCGAAAGCAGGUCAUAGUGAUCCGGUGGUUCUGAAUGGAAGGGCCAUCGCUCAACGGAUAAAAGGUACUCCGGGGAUAACAGGCUGAUACCGCCCAAGAGUUCAUAUCGACGGCGGUGUUUGGCACCUCGAUGUCGGCUCAUCACAUCCUGGGGCUGAAGUAGGUCCCAAGGGUAUGGCUGUUCGCCAUUUAAAGUGGUACGCGAGCUGGGUUUAGAACGUCGUGAGACAGUUCGGUCCCUAUCUGCCGUGGGCGCUGGAGAACUGAGGGGGGCUGCUCCUAGUACGAGAGGACCGGAGUGGACGCAUCACUGGUGUUCGGGUUGUCAUGCCAAUGGCACUGCCCGGUAGCUAAAUGCGGAAGAGAUAAGUGCUGAAAGCAUCUAAGCACGAAACUUGCCCCGAGAUGAGUUCUCCCUGAGACUUAGAGUCUCCUGAAGGAACGUUGAAGACGACGACGUUGAUAGGCCGGGUGUGUAAGCGCAGCGAUGCGUUGAGCUAACCGGUACUAAUGAACCGUGAGGCUUAACCUU